AUCCGGAGGGGGCUAGCGUUGUUCGGAUUUACUGGGCGUAAAGCGCGCGUAGGCGGCCUGUCAAGUUGGAUGUGAAAGCCCGGGGCUCAACCCCGGAAUUGCAUUCAAAACUGGCAAGCUAGAGACCGAGAGAGGUGAGUGGAAUUUCCAGUGUAGAGGUGAAAUUCGUAGAUAUUGGAAAGAACACCAGUGGCGAAGGCGGCUCACUGGCUCGGUACUGACGCUGAGGUGCGAAAGCGUGGGGAGCAAACAGGAUUAGAAACCCCGGUAGUCC
Molecule: ribosomal RNA, 274 nt
Filed under: uncultured bacterium
Lineage: Bacteria
Description: partial 16S ribosomal RNA
Rfam family: Bacterial small subunit ribosomal RNA
Source: RNAcentral